Molecule: transfer RNA, 78 nt
Filed under: Leptolinea sp.
Lineage: Bacteria; Bacillati; Chloroflexota; Anaerolineae; Anaerolineales; Anaerolineaceae
Description: tRNA-Lys
Rfam family: tRNA
About the family: Transfer RNA (tRNA) molecules are approximately 80 nucleotides in length. Their secondary structure includes four short double-helical elements and three loops (D, anti-codon, and T loops). Further hydrogen bonds mediate the characteristic L-shaped molecular structure. tRNAs have two regions of fundamental functional importance: the anti-codon, which is responsible for specific mRNA codon recognition, and the 3' end, to which the tRNAs corresponding amino acid is attached (by aminoacyl-tRNA synthetases). tRNAs cope with the degeneracy of the genetic code in two manners: having more than one tRNA (with a specific anti-codon) for a particular amino acid; and 'wobble' base-pairing, i.e. permitting non-standard base-pairing at the 3rd anti-codon position.
Source: RNAcentral
GAGUUCUUGGAUAAAAUAGGUCUGUGAAUCAGUGGCCUUUUAAGCCAUUGGUUGAGAGUUCGAGCCUCUCCGCGCUCA